This 916-nucleotide long non-coding RNA is filed under the name Glycine max (soybean). RNAcentral describes it as "long non-coding RNA (GMAX_LNC001808)". The record is from RNAcentral. Lineage: Eukaryota; Viridiplantae; Streptophyta; Magnoliopsida; Fabales; Fabaceae.
UAAACCAGACGAAGAUGGUAAUGCCAAAAUUUAUGCAUUAAAGGCUUCCUCGAUGACUCAUGCUCAACUAUCGCUGAGGGGAGUGUAAGUUGUGUACUCUGGGUGAAGUUGAGAGGAGUGUUUCUUGAAGUCUUUAUCCUUCAAUGGUUUCACUUUUUCUUUAUGGUUGUCGCCUUUCUUUUAGUAUUCUUGUCAUAUUUAUGGUUGGUCUCCUUUUACACAAGCUAUCUGCAAAGGAGCUUGGCCUCAAAGUUAUAUUAUCAUUGAUUGGAGGGCUACCCCAAGUUCGAGGUCUUUGAUCUUCACGACGACUUGAGAAAACUGCUCCAACUUACGUAGUGGUUCUUCAUUGGACUGGCUUAUGUUAAUCAACGCAACUGAUGUGGUGAGGUGAGGCCAACUUGUUGCAUAUUGUGCAUUGAAUCAUUUGACAAGCGUGUUGAAAGAAUCGAUCAAUCUUGAGGGAAGUUGAGUUCACCAAUUCAACUCAAGUCCCUUUAGUGAAGUAGGAAAGAUCUUGCAAAGUUUAGCAUCAUUGUUAAUGUACAGAUUUACCUAAGUGAGAUACGCCUCGAGGUGUUCUUUGGGAUUAGUUGUUCCAUCGUAUCUAUCAAGAUAUAUUGGUUUCCAUCCUAUAGGUAAGGGUGUCAUCGAAAAGGUGUCACUGGACAACCAUUGGAGAGGUUGACUUUGUGAUCUUGACCAUGAAGGGGCCAAGGUUUCCUCCCAUUGAUUCAUGUUGUAUUUGGAGUGUUUGCUCUGUGCUUUUGUGUUUUGUUGUUCAAAUCUAGCAUUUAUUUAGGUAUGUGCAUGAGAUUCUUGCAGUUGUGCUCAAAUGGUGUCAAUUUCCUAUUGUAAUGCUUGCACAUGUGCUUCAUGGUUUUGUCUUAUUGCUUUCAAAUCCUUGACAUUUUUC